CCGAGUUUACAACUCCCAAACCCAUGUGAACAUACCUAUCGUUGCUUCGGCGGGAUCGCCCCGGGUGCCCUGCGUGCCCCGGACCCAGGCGCCCGCCAAAGGACCUUAACUCUUGUAUUAUUUUGGAAUCUUCUGAGUCGUUUUUACAAAUAAAUAA
RNAcentral lists this unclassified non-coding RNA (157 nucleotides) under uncultured Clonostachys. RNAcentral describes it as "sequence contains ITS1". The record is from RNAcentral. Lineage: Eukaryota; Fungi; Ascomycota; Sordariomycetes; Hypocreales; Bionectriaceae.